Molecule: transfer RNA, 62 nt
Filed under: Rhodnius prolixus
Lineage: Eukaryota; Metazoa; Arthropoda; Insecta; Hemiptera; Reduviidae
Description: tRNA-Ala
Rfam family: tRNA
About the family: Transfer RNA (tRNA) molecules are approximately 80 nucleotides in length. Their secondary structure includes four short double-helical elements and three loops (D, anti-codon, and T loops). Further hydrogen bonds mediate the characteristic L-shaped molecular structure. tRNAs have two regions of fundamental functional importance: the anti-codon, which is responsible for specific mRNA codon recognition, and the 3' end, to which the tRNAs corresponding amino acid is attached (by aminoacyl-tRNA synthetases). tRNAs cope with the degeneracy of the genetic code in two manners: having more than one tRNA (with a specific anti-codon) for a particular amino acid; and 'wobble' base-pairing, i.e. permitting non-standard base-pairing at the 3rd anti-codon position.
Source: RNAcentral
GGGAAUGUAGUUAAAAAUAACAUUUAAUUUGCAAUUAAAAAGUACUAUUUAAGUCUUUCUCA